RNAcentral lists this small nuclear RNA (107 nucleotides) under Castor canadensis (American beaver). The record is from RNAcentral. Lineage: Eukaryota; Metazoa; Chordata; Mammalia; Rodentia; Castoridae.
GUGCUCGCUUUGGCAGCACAUAUACUAAAAUUGGAAUGACACAGAGAAGAUUACCAUGGCCCCUGUGCAAGGAUGACACGCAAAUUCGUGAAGUGUUCCAUAUUUAA